Long non-coding RNA from Ipomoea nil (Japanese morning glory), 103 nucleotides. RefSeq lists it as uncharacterized. The transcript is spliced from 3 exons. The record is from RefSeq and is a predicted model, not a curated record. Lineage: Eukaryota; Viridiplantae; Streptophyta; Magnoliopsida; Solanales; Convolvulaceae.
UGACAUAUAACUAAAUAGAUGAUAGAUGAUUCUGUUUUCUAUUUAGAAAACAGUUUUUAAGAGUGUUCCAAUUUUCUAGAAAACUGAAAAAAUGUGGCUACUU